This 490-nucleotide ribosomal RNA is filed under the name uncultured bacterium. RNAcentral describes it as "partial 16S ribosomal RNA". It matches the Rfam family "Bacterial small subunit ribosomal RNA", at positions 30 to 507 of the family's 1533-position model. The record is from RNAcentral.
AUUGAACGCUGGCGGCAGGCCUAACACAUGCAAGUCGAACGGUAACAGGAAACAGCUUGCUGUUUCGCUGACGAGUGGCGGACGGGUGAGUAAUGUCUGGGAAACUGCCUGAUGGAGGGGGAUAACUACUGGAAACGGUAGCUAAUACCGCAUAACGUCGCAAGACCAAAGAGGGGGACCCUCGGGCCUCUUGCCAUCGGAUGUGCCCAGAUGGGAUUAGCUUGUUGGUGGGGUAACGGCUCACCAAGGCGACGAUCCCUAGCUGGUCUGAGGGGAUGACCAGGCACACUGGAACUGAGACACGGACCAGACUCCUACGGGAGGCAGCAGUGGGGAAUAUUGCACAAUGGGCGCAAGCCUGAUGCAGCCAUGCCGCGUGUAUGAAGAAGGCCUUCGGGUUGUAAAGUACUUUCAGCGGGGAGGAAGGGAGUAAAGUUAAUACCUUUGCUCAUUGACGUUACCCGCAGAAGAAGCACCGGCUAACUCCGUG